This 406-nucleotide ribosomal RNA is filed under the name uncultured bacterium. Its description in RNAcentral is "partial 16S ribosomal RNA". It matches the Rfam family "Bacterial small subunit ribosomal RNA", at positions 30 to 526 of the family's 1533-position model. The record is from RNAcentral.
AUUGAACGCUGGCGGCAGGCCUAACACAUGCAAGUCGAACGAGUGGCGGACGGGUGAGUAAUGUCUGGGAAACUGCCUGAUGGAGGGGGAUAACUACUGGAAACGGUAGCUAAUACCGCAUACCAUCGGAUGUGCCCAGAUGGGAUUAGGUUGUUGGUGGGGUAACGGCUCACCAAGGCGACGAUCCCUAGCUGGUCUGAGAGGAUGACCAGCCACACUGGGACUGAGACACGGUCCAGACUCCUACGGGAGGCAGCAGUGGGGAAUAUUGCACAAUGGGCGCAAGCCUGAUGCAGCCAUGCCGCGUGAAUGAAGAAGGCCUUCGGGUUGUAAAGUUCUUUCAGCGGGGAGGCGUUACCCGCAGAAGAAGCACCGGCUAACUCCGUGCCAGCCGCCGCGGUAAUUC